RNAcentral lists this ribosomal RNA (386 nucleotides) under fungal sp. Cul1_39. RNAcentral describes it as "eukaryotic LSU rRNA". It matches the Rfam family "Eukaryotic large subunit ribosomal RNA", at positions 38 to 421 of the family's 3401-position model. The record is from RNAcentral. Lineage: Eukaryota; Fungi.
GCAUAUCAAUAAGCGGAGGAAAAGAAACCAACAGGGAUUGCUCUAGUAACGGCGAGUGAAGCAGCAAUAGCUCAAAUUUGAAAUCUGGCGUCUUCGGCGUCCGAGUUGUAAUUUGUAGAGGAUGCUUCUGGGCAGCCACCGACCUAAGUUCCUUGGAACAGGACGUCAUAGAGGGUGAGAAUCCCGUAUGCGGUCGGAAAGGCACCCUACACGUAGCUCCUUCGACGAGUCGAGUUGUUUGGGAAUGCAGCUCUAAAUGGGAGGUAAAUUUCUUCUAAAGCUAAAUAUUGGCCAGAGACCGAUAGCGCACAAGUAGAGUGAUCGAAAGAUGAAAAGCACUUUGGAAAGAGAGUUAAAAAGCACGUGAAAUUGUUGAAAGGGAAGGG